This 818-nucleotide ribosomal RNA is filed under the name Rhizophagus irregularis DAOM 181602=DAOM 197198. RNAcentral's name for it is "eukaryotic LSU rRNA". It matches the Rfam family "Eukaryotic large subunit ribosomal RNA", at positions 1 to 668 of the family's 3401-position model. Lineage: Eukaryota; Fungi; Glomeromycota; Glomeromycetes; Glomerales; Glomeraceae. The record is from RNAcentral.
GACCUCAAAUCAGGUAGGAACACCCGCUGAACUUAAGCAUAUCAAUAAGCGGAGGAAAAGAAAAUAACAAUGAUUCCCCUAGUAACUGCGAGUGAAGAGGGACAAGCUCAAAUUUUAAAUCUAUCGGGUUUUACCUGAUCGAGUUGUAAUUUGAAGAAGCGUUUUCUGCGUAUUUGGUCAGCCUAAGUCCUAUUGAAUGAGGCAUCAUGGAGGGUGAUAAUCCCGUCCGGUUGAUCAUUUGCGUUUUACGAUACGCUUUCUAAGAGUCAAGUUGUUUGGGAUUGCAGCUUAAAAUGGGAGGUAAAUUUCUCCUAAGGCUAAAUAACGGCGAGAGACCGAUAGCGAACAAGUACCGUGAGGGAAAGAUGAAAAGAACUUUGAAAAGAGAGUUAAACAGUACGUGAAAUUGUUGAAAGGGAAACGAUUGAAGCCAGUCGUACCUUCGGGUAAUCAGCCUUUCGGGUGCGAUUCUGUGGAGUGUGAGGAGCUUAAACACCUUCAUGUUUUGCAUAUUCGUACUCUUGGGUGUACUUGCCCGUGUGGUUGGUUAACAUCAAUUUUGGUGGUCAUAAAAUGACUGGGGGAAUGUAGCUUCGAUCUUGUAUUGAAGUGUUAUAGCCUUCGGUAGAUGUGGUGAUCGAGAUUGAGGAUUGCAACGGAUACCUUUCGGGGCUACCUGUCUGAUCUCUGAUCGUUGCUUUGGUGCUGAAAGCGUGCUUAUAGUUAUCAAAGUCGAUGGUUAAUAGGUUAGAAUGGGUUAAAUUCGUUAAGGAUGUUGACGUAAUGGCUUUAAACGACCCGUCUUGAAACACGGACCA